RNAcentral lists this unclassified non-coding RNA (145 nucleotides) under uncultured fungus. RNAcentral's name for it is "sequence contains ITS1". The record is from RNAcentral. Lineage: Eukaryota; Fungi.
UUAAUUCUUGCUUAGGUUCAGACAAACACAUUCUGGUGCAUAGGUGCGGGGCCGAAGCCCCGAAGCACGGUUCGCUUCCACAGGUUUGAAGGUAGAAGGCCGGAGCCAUUCAUUAAUGAUCCCUCCGCAGGUUCACCUACGGAGA